CAGUAGCCGCGGGAAUACGUAGGUGGCAAGCGUUGUCCGGAAUUAUUGGGCGUAAAGGGCUCGCAGGCGGUUUCUUAAGUCUGAUGUGAAAGCCCCCGGCUCAACCGGGGAGGGUCAUUGGAAACUGGGAAACUUGAGUGCAGAAGAGGAGAGUGGAAUUCCAUGUGUAGCGGUGAAAUGCGUAGAUAUAUGGAGGAACACCAGUGGCGAAGGCGACUCUCUGGUCUGUAACUGACGCUGAGGCUCGAAAGCGUGGGGAGCAAACAGGAUUAGAUACCCCCGUAGUCCCUGUUUCUUAUAU
RNAcentral lists this ribosomal RNA (301 nucleotides) under uncultured bacterium. RNAcentral describes it as "partial 16S ribosomal RNA". It matches the Rfam family "Bacterial small subunit ribosomal RNA", at positions 509 to 809 of the family's 1533-position model. The record is from RNAcentral.